Molecule: long non-coding RNA, 255 nt
Filed under: Elaeis guineensis (African oil palm)
Lineage: Eukaryota; Viridiplantae; Streptophyta; Magnoliopsida; Arecales; Arecaceae
Description: long non-coding RNA (EGUI_LNC023833)
Source: RNAcentral
CUCAUCGUAGCUAGCUAGAUUUCAAAAUAACUUCUACUUAUCCAGGAGCACUAUUAUUAAUAGCCAUUUUAGGAACAAUGGCACGUGCACAAUAUUAGAAUGUUUACGAAAACAAAAUUUUGAAUCCAGUUUCAUCAUGCAAGUUUGAAGUAUAAAUAUUAUCUUUGUUUUUUUGGUACAAAUAAAUAAAUCUUUUUGUUGGUAAGAAUAAAUAAAUCUUGUUGAUGAAUACUUUACCUAAGUAAAAGAGAGAGG